Molecule: long non-coding RNA, 4453 nt
Filed under: Ovis aries (sheep)
Lineage: Eukaryota; Metazoa; Chordata; Mammalia; Artiodactyla; Bovidae
Description: lncRNA (ENSOARG00000025365.1)
Source: RNAcentral
GCCACCGGUUUCCUUUUUCGCAGUCUGUUGGCCCAAACAUUAGGAUUCUUCCUCGGAAUCACUGAUCUCUUCAUAGGCGACUGGUUGUCUUAUGCGCAGUCUGUUGGCCCAAACAUCAACUGUCAUUCUCUUGGAUUCUUCCUCGGAAUCACUGAUCUCUUCAUAGGCCACCAGUUGUCUUUUUCGCAGUCUGUUGGCCCAAACAUCAACCUUCUUUCUCUCGGAUUCUUCCUCAGAAUCACUGAUCUCUUCAUAGGCCACCAGUUGUCUUUUUCGCAGUCUGUUGGCCCAAACAUCAACUGCCUUUCUCUCGGAUUCUUCCUCAGAAUCACUGAUCUCUUCAUAGGCCACUGGUUGUCUUUUUCGCAAUCUGUUGGCCCAAACAUCAACCUUCUUUCUCUCGGAUUCUUCCUCAGAAUCACUGAUCUCUUCAUAGGCCACUGGUUGUCUUUUUCGCAAUCUGUUGGCCCAAACAUCAACCUUCUUUCUCUCGGAUUCUUCCUCAGAAUCACUGAUCUCUUCAUAGGCGACUGGUUGUCUUAUGCGCAGUCUGUUGGCCCAAACAUCAACCGCCUUUCUCUCAGAUUCUUCCUCGGAAUCACUGAUCUCUUUAUGGGCCACCCGUUGUCUUUUUCGCAGUCUGUUGGCCCAAACAUCAACCUUCUUUCUCUCGGAUUCUUCCUCGGAAUCACUGAUCUCUUCAUAGGCCACCGGUUGUCUUUUUCGCAGUCUCUGGGCCCAAACAUCAACCGUCUUCCUCUCGGAUUCUUCCUUGGAAUCACUGAUCUCUUCAUAGGCCAUUGGUUGUCUUUUUCGCAGUCUCUUGGCCCAAACAUCAACCGUCUUCCUCUCGGAUUCUCCCUCGGAAUCACUGAUCUCUUCAUAGGCCACCGGUUGUCUUUUUCGCAGUCUCUGGGCCCAAACAUUAACCGUCUUCCUCUCGGAUUCUCCCUCGGAAUCACUGAUCUCUUCAUAGGCCACCGGUUGUCUUUUUCGCAGUCUCUGGGCCCAAACAUUAACCAUCCUCUUUGAUCCUGCAGAAGACAUGGUAAAUGGGGGCUGGGUGGGUUAGGGAGUGUUGGGUCCUGUUUUGUCAGAUAAGGAGAUGCCUCCUCCCUUCCCAUGUGGCCACAGGACAUCUACAUAGUCUGUUUUGCACACUUUCUGGCUCAAAGAGGCUGAGAGGUUAAACCCACACCAAUACACACCAAAAAAUACACACGCAACAGCAGUUAGAGUUUCAGCCCUGGCUCCUUUCAUCGUCAGGUUUAGAUUCCCAGUAAGUAAGUUUAGAUUACUUACCACAUUUAUUCUGACCUUCUUUCACUCAGCAGAUAUAUUAAGGGCAUACUGUCUGUCAGGCAUUGAGCUGAGGGUGGGGAUAAAACUCUGAGUAAGACGUGUUCCCAAGUUAUCACAGAUGGAAUGACCUGAGUUCCCCCACCAGGGAUUGAACCCAUGCUCCAUGCAGAGUAGGUGCAGUCUUAACCACUGGACUGCCAGGGAAGUCCGUUGAAUCGAACACCUUUGAACAGACUGUGAACUUGGAUUCUUUAUUUCCAUUUUAUGGACUAGGAAUCUGGAGCUCAGAGAAUUUGAAAGGCUUGCCCCCAAUUACAUGGCUUUCAUAUCGAUGACAACUCAGAUCUGUGAUUCUGUAAGUUAGCUUUUUAAAAAACUGUGGCCACGCCAACUGGUUUGUGGGAUCUUAGUUCCUUGAUCAGGGAUCAACCCAGGCCCCAGCAGUGAGGACCCUGGAAGUCAACUCAAAUGUUUCAGCUGGGGCUGAGCAAGCUCUCAGCCCAGCCUGGCCCUAGGCCUGUCCAGGAUCCAUCUCCCAUGACUAACCCAUUCACUUGAACAUGGCCAGGGAAGACAGAGGACUUGUUCCCAAACAAGUAAGAAAAGUUGUUUCUCUUACCUGAUGUUUUCUUACUCUCCUGAGCAGAGAUACUUGCUUUUGUCUGGGAGCGCAGCUGUCUCUGAGCCUGCUCUGGGCCUGAUGUUCCUGGUACUAUCUUUGAACGUUUUUUUCCCUUUACAGGCUUCUUGGACAUCACCUUCUUAACGUGAAAGUCACAUACAAUCAGUAUCCAUUUCUCAAGUGCUUUUAGAGCUUACAAAGUGUUUUCUUGUGCAGUACCUUAAUUAACGUUCUCAACAAGUCUGGGGGAUCAUUAUAUUACCUGUACCUCAAUUACAAAGAAUCUAGGAAGUUAGAAGGAAAUGGAAUGGUCUAAAUGAAGGGUGUUUCCACGAUUAGAACGCUUGUUUUCAUGCUUUUUCCAGACUGACACCCUCACCAAGAGAAAUCUCCAAGUGAGCAGGAGUGUGGUACACGGAAGAUUUGGAAAGUAGAGUAUUCUAACAAUCCAUGAGGUCUGUGAAAAUGAGGAGGGGCUUCUAUAAAAUCUAAGGGAUUGAAGAUAAGCUAGUUGACAGCUGCGGGGAGAGCAAAUGGAAUGAUGUGCAGAGGGGACAAAACACUGCUGGCAAAUGGUGUGGGAGAGAUGAAUACAGGGAAAGGAGAAGAGAGAAUGGUUCACAUAAAUUCACGCGGCCAGCCAAGAAAGUGGUGCCAGAUGUGACAUCCUGUCCUACCUCGGCAAGAACAUUUCAUGUGGAAUUAGGUGAGGUGGCUCCUGUACCAAUUCUACUUGUGUCAAGGUGUGUCACUGACCACCGAUCUUAAAGCUAACCUUCAUUCAGCUCUUGUUUAUAAAACUGUGAACUGUAAAACAAGCUAAGUGAAAGAACUUUCUAAGGCUAUAAAUGCAGUUUAAAUGUGAUAAUAAUAAAAACAAACACUUUUAUGAUCCCUCUUUGAAUUCUCUCUUCAACCGUGUCCACACUGGUACUGGUAGCCGAACCACCAGAUCCCUUUACCCUCUAAACUACAGUUUAAUCUGCAAUUGCAGAAGAACUCAUUCAAUAAACCUCUAACAGUCUUUCUGGGCUGGAACUGGGGCUUCAGGGAUGCCUCAGCGGCAGACAAGGUCCCUAAGGAGCUCACAGAAGAGAGGGGCUGACAGUUCAAGUGAUUCUCAAGCAACACGAAAGGGGCCCUGUUGUGAGAGUGGGUGUCUUAACAGAAGUGUCAGCAGCAUCUGCAAAAUUUAAGGGAAACGCCUGAGCUUGAGAAACAUGUGAAACAGCUGACAAAUUUGGAAAUGGUUUGGGGCUUUGGAUUAGACUACUACCACUGCCACUGUUGGGCUUCCCUGGUGGCUCAGAUGGUAAAGAAUCUGCCUGCAAUGCAGGAGACCCAGGUUUGAUCCCUGGGUCAGUAAGAUCCUCUGGAGAAAAGAACAGCCACUGUGGUCUCAAGCAGAUUAUUUAACAUCUCUGUACCACAGUAUCUGCAUUAUUAUGAGUAGUAGUAUUUAAUAAUACUAAUACUAACCUCAUUAUUAUUUGGGGAUAAUAAUAGCAGGAACAUCAGAGAGUUUUAAGGGCUAAAUACACUAAUUCAUGUAAAUUGUCUAAAAUAGUAUCUGUCAUCACUAAGAAAUCAAGGAAGUAACAGCUAUCACAAUUGUUGUUAAUUAUUAUUUAGCUCUUGGUACUACAUCAGGAAUUGUGAUAAAGAGAUCAGGAAAGGGAGGCAGUGUGGGCCAGGCUACUUUCCCACUGUUAUCCCAAUAUUCACAUCUCCAGAGACAUAAACAGUCUCUGGUCCUUCGGAUUUGGGCGGCACUCACCUUCUGGCGUUUUCUCCCUUGCAUGUUGGAAGUCCCUUCAGCAGGUUCAUCUAAAAGGAGGUGACAAGUCAGAAAUUUAUUUUUGUUGUUGGUAAAUAUUCUCAAACUGCAGAGACUCCUGUAGUAUCAGGAAUUUCUGCAGCAGAGGGUGACAAGUCCACUCAUUAUCAAAGAGUUACUCUGAGACCAGCCUCUGAAUAACAACAAUUUCGGUUAUUUAUUUGCGGCAUCAAUUCAGAAUUUUUCUUCUGAUGGUUUAUAAGAUGCAAACUAAACCCCAUCACUGCCUUAUCCUAUCCUAUUAUGUAUUUCUUAUUUUUUCCCAAAGAAGUAAAUUGAUUGGUCUUUAGCCAAAAAUCACUCUAUACUUAAAAUGGUGACUUUCACAGUAUGUCACCUUAAUGAAACUGUUAAGUGUGAAAUGAACCAUGGAUGAUUUACUCCAGUGGUUAUGGAAUGUUUCCAGUAUAAGGAUACCUCUUUAAUAUCAAAAGCUCUGUAGGUACUCAAGCACUGGCUUUUUAGCCCUCUUAUAGUAAUUUUGGGAGCUUGUGGAAACGGCUCUGUUAAACUAGAGAGUCAAACAAAGGGCUACUGGAGACAUUUUGAACAUUUUCACCCUGUCUUCUCACAACUGUGCUCUCAGAACAAAAGAGCAAAUGAACACAUCCCAUCCCCUUUUUAAGUGAGUACAUACACUGCUCAGAUGCACAAAGAUUUCUAGAAUCUGUCACUUUUUUAAACCUUACAAU